This 533-nucleotide long non-coding RNA is filed under the name Triticum aestivum (bread wheat). Its description in RNAcentral is "long non-coding RNA (TAES_LNC027898)". Lineage: Eukaryota; Viridiplantae; Streptophyta; Magnoliopsida; Poales; Poaceae. The record is from RNAcentral.
AGCAACAGGGAUGCUAGCAAUGGAACACAAGCAAUGUUACUUGAAUAUUGGAAGCAAAUCUUUUGGAAUCACUGAAAAUUCACGAAGCUGCGGUGCUAACAAACCUCAUCAUGUAUUGCAGGCAUUUCUAGUUCUACGUGUGUUUCAAUGUGAAUGCUACAGGAAAAGCAGCAACCAUUAGGUUCACCGGACACAACCGGUACUUGGACACUAUAAAGAAACCAGGUGACAAGCUCGAUAAAUGCUUAGACACUGAACUAUCAUAUGACAUAAAUAAGCUGACCAGCAGCAACGGGUCAAACAAGACAACUCUCUUUAAAUAAAACUAGGUGACACUAUGGUUAAAUAGGCAAUUAAGUUAUCAUGUCAUGUGGCACACAAACAAGGUCAGAAGCAACUGAAUGCUGAAGAACAAGUAAACAUGGUUGACAAACAGGCUAAAGAACAAGUAAACAUGGUUGACAAACAGGCUAAGUGCAGAAACAAGUGGAUCUGACAGGAAAGCAGCAAUGCAAAGAGCAACAGUAAUCAAC